Molecule: long non-coding RNA, 2382 nt
Filed under: Fukomys damarensis (Damara mole-rat)
Lineage: Eukaryota; Metazoa; Chordata; Mammalia; Rodentia; Bathyergidae
Description: lncRNA (ENSFDAG00000029892.1)
Source: RNAcentral
AGACAAGAGAAUGUUCACAUUAAUGUGAACAAUUUCCAAAGUACUUUUCUUUGUGUGAGAUAUGUGGGGGUUAAUAUCUCCACUUUCCAGGCAGGGAAUGGAGGCUCAGGGAGGUGGUGCCUUCAUCGCAGGUCAUACAGCUGGCGAGGAGCCCCUCUGCCACUGUGCAGUUGGCUGUUGCCUGAGGACACUGCAGACCCAUGGCAGAGUCUCACUCUGAACACAGAAGCUCAAAUAGUUUCAUAGAAGCACCAUAAUGGCUGUUGUCCUUGCCCUGUUUGUGGCUCUCAACACUGCUGAAAAGCAGAUUCUGGAAAGCGGUGCUUGCAAAUGGAGUGUGUUUGGCUUGCUAGGCCACAUUUCACCUGCUGUCCUUCUCUUUCAGAGACUGUGGACUUACAGAAGCUGGACAAAAGAGCACUUGCUCUGGCAUCAGGGUAAUUGCAACCUGCUAAUAGCUUGCUCAGCACUCAGCACUUGUGGUCUAGAUGCUAUCUCGUUAACCUUCCUGGUGUGUGUGAGGCAAGUGCUCCUGAAGAUGCUGCGCCACAAGCAGAGGCCUGGAUGCAGUAGCCCACAACAGCUAACUUAGUGCUUUCCAGUGCUGAAAAAACUACAGAGAUCUUCUACAUUCCAGAGCGCAUAUGGAAAAUUAUAGGCACUUAAAAAUGGUUCUUAAAAAUUGUCAAAACACCUCUCAGGCUCCCAAAUGAAUUUGCUUUUUGAAGUUUGUCAAAAUUAAUUCUAAUGUUUCUUUUUUAAGCAUACAAAAAUAGCCAUCAAAAAUACUGUAAAUGGGAUUUUUUUCUUUUUUCUUUUAAGACAGGAUCUCACUAUGUAGCUGGCCCCAAACUCAUGAUCCUCUGCUUCAGCCUCCCAAAUGCUAGGAUUAUAGAUCCAAACACCAUCAGCCCAGCUCUGCUAAUAAAUGCAGACUUGGAAAACCACUUGUGAUAGUGUAUAUAUAGCAAGCACAAUGUUAUUAUAUGCUAUAAAAGUGAACAAAGAAAGUAACCUGGAAAGUUACAAAAGAAGGAAUGGUUAACAUACAAAGGCAUUUUCCCUUACAAAAAUACAAAUGGCAGCCAAGCAUCUCUUUUCAUCUGUUAGACAAGAAAAGCAGAGUGGCCUGAGUAGUUAUUUGACAGUUUUAUACAUUGUCCAGGGAAAUGCAAAAGGAUCUCACCUUUCUUAAGGGCAAAUUUUGUAUGCGUGUGUUUAAGACUUAGGCAUAAGACUUGCAGAACCUCAGCCCAGCUGUACGAUCCGAAAAUGUAUGUAUAAGAAAACUGAAUAGAGCCUAAAUCUUGAAGAACAGAAGCUUAAUCAAAUGAAGUGAGCCAUAUCCACAUUGUUAUGCAGCCAUUAAGUUAAUGUAUGAUCAUUUGGGGGGAAAUGGUGUGUAUUGUGUAUAUGUGUAGAUUGUAUAGAUACAUGUUAACAUAUCUCCAUACACAUACAUAUAUGUGUUUACAUUUGAUUUUUGUGUUUCUGUUGUUGUUUUACUCUCUCCCUUUUUUUUUUUUUUUUUUUUUUUNNNNNNNNNNNNNNNNNNNNNNNNNNNNNNNNNNNNNNNNNNNNNNNNNNNNNNNNNNNNNNNNNNNNNNNNNNNNNNNNNNNNNNNNNNNNNNNNNNNNNNNNNNNNNNNNNNNNUUUUUUUUUUUUUUUUUUGGUACCCAGAAUUGAGCUCAGGACUUUGUGCUUGCCAGGCAGGCAAGGCACCACUGAGCUAAAUCCCUGGCCCUUUGCAGUUGUUAUCAUGUGAAAGUACUGAUUGAACUUAGCUUUCUUUUAAUAAAAAUGAAAGUUUUGUUCAAACCAUACUUACAAAACUUUAAAAAGCAACAACUUAAUGGAGCUGACAAAAAUUUGGACAUGAAAGAGAACUUUUACUGGCGAUUGCAUGAAUAAUAAUGAAUGCAUUAAUUGCUUUUUUCUUGCCAGAAAUUAGCCUGGGUUAAGCCUUUAAAUGUAAAUACUAGUAUAUUUCAAAUGCAGCUGUGCACAUACUCACACACUGUGCACAUACUCACACACUAAUGAGGAGGUUGGAUAGGCGAAAUCUAACAAGUCUAUGCUUCAGACUGACUGCAUUACAACAGUGCACACUCCUGUACAGGACACACUUGAUGUGCGCACUGGGGACUGGGGGAUCGUUCCAAGCCUAGAGUUGACUGCACAACAUGAAGUAUGUGGAGGAGGAGAAACUUAUGGAGAAGUCAGAGUCAAUGAGAUACUCGGUGAAAUGAAACUAUAAAGAAGUAAAAAGAGUUUUUUUAAAUGCUAAAGAAAAUUGGCGAAUAGUUUAAAAUUACUGAAGUCAAAUGUAGUAAAUCAAAUUAGCAUUAAUAUUUUGUGAUUACGUGAUUGUGAAAAGAUGGG